This 354-nucleotide ribosomal RNA is filed under the name Triticum aestivum (bread wheat). RNAcentral's name for it is "partial small subunit ribosomal RNA". Lineage: Eukaryota; Viridiplantae; Streptophyta; Magnoliopsida; Poales; Poaceae. The record is from RNAcentral.
AUGGACCGCCUGAAGUCGGCCCAAGGGUCGUCCGUGCGCUUCACCACCGCGAAGCUUCAGGUCACAACCGCCUCCGCCGCAGCCGCCGGAGCUCCCGCUCACCCCCGACGAGGUCUCCGUUGUCGUGGAUGUCACGAGCGUCGUCUCCGCCUCGCAACCGUCGACGCUGCGGAUGUUGUACGCGCUCGGCUCCUUGUUGCAGCUGAACCACCCGCUAUCGCCGGACGACAAGGUCUGUAUGGCCACGAGGCGAGGCGUGUUGUCACCGUCGGUGGCGGCCUCAAUGACGGGAGGGAUCCCGCACCCACGCGCACAGAUGGAGGCAGUAGCAGCAGCGAGCUCGCCCCGUGCUAG